This 367-nucleotide ribosomal RNA is filed under the name uncultured organism. RNAcentral's name for it is "partial 16S ribosomal RNA". It matches the Rfam family "Bacterial small subunit ribosomal RNA", at positions 527 to 896 of the family's 1533-position model. The record is from RNAcentral.
GUAGGGACCAAGCGUUAUCCGGAAUUAUUGGGCGUAAAGGGUGCGUAGGCGGCCAUAUAAGUCUAAGUUAAAAGCCCACAGCUUAACUGUGGAAGGUGCUUAGAAACUGUAUGGCUUGAAUUCAGAAGAGGCAAGUGGAAUUCUAUGUGGAGCGGUGGAAUGCGUAGAUAUAUGGAGGAACACCAGUGGCGAAGGCGGCUUGCUGGGCUGAUAUUGACGCUGAUGCACGAAAGCGUGGGGGGGAGCAAACAGGAUUAGAUACCCUGGUAGUCCACGCCGUAAACCGAUGAGUACUAAGUGUUGGAGAAAUUCAGUGCUGAACUUAACAGAUUAAGUACUCCGCCUGGGGAUUACGACCGCAAGGUUG